Molecule: ribosomal RNA, 424 nt
Filed under: Verrucomicrobiota bacterium
Lineage: Bacteria; Pseudomonadati; Verrucomicrobiota
Description: Verrucomicrobia bacterium partial 16S ribosomal RNA
Rfam family: Bacterial small subunit ribosomal RNA
Source: RNAcentral
UGAGGAAUAUUGGUCAAUGGGCGAGAGCCUGAACCAGCCAAGUAGCGUGCAGGACGACGGCCCUAUGGGUUGUAAACUGCUUUUAUGUGUGGAUAAAGUGCGUGACGUGUCAUGCAUUGCAGGUACCACAUGAAUAAGGACCGGCUAAUUCCGUGCCAGCAGCCGCGGUAAUACGGAAGGUCCGGGCGUUAUCCGGAUUUAUUGGGUUUAAAGGGAGCGUAGGCUGUCUAUUAAGAGUGUUGUGCAAUAUACCGGCUCAACCGGUGGCUUGCAGCGCGAACUGGUCGACUUGAGUAUGCAGGAAGUAGGCGGAAUUCAUGGUGUAGCGGUGAAAUGCUAAGAUAUCAUGACGAACUCCGAUUGCGCAGGCAGCUUACUGUAGCAUAACAGACGCUGAUGCUCGAAAGUGCGGGUAUCAAACAGG